UCAGUAACGGCGAGUGAAGCGGCAAGAGCUCAAAUUUGAAAUCCGGCCCCCCCGGGGCCUGAGUUGUAAUUUGCAGAGGAUGCUUCGGGCGCGACCGCGGUCCAAGUCCCCUGGAACGGGGCGUCGUAGAGGGUGAGAAUCCCGUCUCCGGCCGGCCGGUCUCGCCCGUGUGAAGCUCCUUCGACGAGUCGAGUUGUUUGGGAAUGCAGCUCCAAAUGCGCUGUAAAUUUCAUCUAAAGCUAAAUACUGGUCGGAGACCGAUAGCGCACAAGUAGAGUGAUCGAAAGAUGAAAAGCACUUUGAAAAGAGAGUUAAACAGCAUGUGAAAUUGUUGAAAGGGAAGCGCUUGCGACCAGAGUCGGCCGCGGGGGUUCAGCGGGCAUUCGUUGCCCGUGCAAUCCCCGCGGCCGGGCCAGCGUCGGUUUCGACGGCCGGUCAAAGGCCCCCGGAAUGUGUCGCCUCUCGGGGCGUCUUAUAGCCGGGGGUGCAAUGCGGCCAGUCGGACCGA
Molecule: ribosomal RNA, 508 nt
Filed under: Histoplasma capsulatum
Lineage: Eukaryota; Fungi; Ascomycota; Eurotiomycetes; Onygenales; Ajellomycetaceae
Description: eukaryotic LSU rRNA
Rfam family: Eukaryotic large subunit ribosomal RNA
Source: RNAcentral